RNAcentral lists this ribosomal RNA (281 nucleotides) under Rickettsia monacensis. RNAcentral describes it as "partial 16S ribosomal RNA". It matches the Rfam family "Bacterial small subunit ribosomal RNA", at positions 72 to 369 of the family's 1533-position model. The record is from RNAcentral. Lineage: Bacteria; Pseudomonadati; Pseudomonadota; Alphaproteobacteria; Rickettsiales; Rickettsiaceae.
AUUGGGGCUUGCUCCAAUUAGUUAGUGGCAGACGGGUGAGUAACACGUGGGAAUCUACCCAUCAGUACGGAAUAACUUUUAGAAAUAAAAGCUAAUACCGUAUAUUCUCUACGGAAAAAAGAUUUAUCGCUGAUGGAUGAGCCCGCGUCAGAUUAGGUAGUUGGUGAGGUAACGGCUCACCAAGCCGACGAUCUGUAGCUGGUCUGAGAGGAUGAUCAGCCACACUGGGACUGAGACACGGCCCAGACUCCUACGGGAGGCAGCAGUGGGGAAUAUUGGAC